Sander lucioperca (pikeperch) is the source of this 461-nucleotide long non-coding RNA. RefSeq lists it as uncharacterized. The transcript is spliced from 3 exons. Lineage: Eukaryota; Metazoa; Chordata; Actinopteri; Perciformes; Percidae. The record is from RefSeq and is a predicted model, not a curated record.
ACACUAUUUAGCUGUCUAACCAAGUCACAAAAGGGUUCACUUUUAAUUUCGUAUCUUUGAUGGACUUGAAAGUGAGCAAAUGGGUGAACUCUAUGAGGCAGUGAGCUGACCAAUCAGCUGCCAGCUAGGCUCCGUUACAGUUACGCCUCUAGUUUCGCGUCUCUGCAUGUUCUUUUGGCGCUUGCACUCGAGCAUGGGAGGCUGCGUUAUCCACUUGAGUGUAAAAGGGAGCUGCGCCUGAAUCCACUGUGGUCACAGAGCUAAAGGCAGUGAAUUCCGCUAAAAUGGUCAGGUUUUGGUAAAGAGUUGGGAACAUCGUGCAGAGAUCCUUUCCACAGAGUGAUACAGAUCCACACGUUCCAGACGUUCCCCCAGAGAUUCAUAGAUUCCCAGUCCGGGUGGCUGGGUGGCGAGCCAACCGUGUUUGGGACUCUGACUUUAGACGACUUGCCAGGAUCAUC